CCGCCUUGGACGGAGUCUCGGGCCUGCUUUUCUGUGUUUUCUCUACCCCUUACUCUGGCUUCUGGAUAGCCUUUGGAAUAUUCCAGGAGAUAGCUGGGCCUCCAGAGAGAGCAGGCUGCAGGGUGUGGGCCCGGACUCCCCUUGCCUGGCGGGUUUUCCCGGUCAGCGUUCCUGCUGCUCCCCCUCAUCCCUCCUGCUCUGCAGCCUUUUUCUCUGGUUCAGACCCACACUCUGCUUUCCCACUGCCUGGGCUUGCUGAGCUCUCCGUUUUGGCUUGAAGGCCUCGCCCGAGCCCUGUCACCGGCUCUGCCUGUCAGAAGGACCCGAGUAUGCAGCGUCGGUGGGGCUGCCUGACACUGACCUCUGGGGUUGUAAAGGUCCCGGAGGGUCCUAAGUCCGGCCUGACGUGGCUGAGAUGGCAAGAGCCGGAACGUUUCUGUAAAAUCUGAAAGCCCUUGAUGGGGCCGAGGGGGUGAGGAGGAUUCCCACCCUGUGUGGACAGGAGCGCUCAGCAGCGGAGUGACUCCACCAAAGAUCCUGCAGAUCAUUCAGCUGGACCUAGACCUGAAGUUUAAGACCAACAUCCGGGAGUUGUUUGAGGAAUUUGACAGUUUCCUGCCAGGCGCCAUCAUCGGCAUAGCCCGGGAGAUGCAGCCAGUUUACAGGCACACGUUCUGGCAGUUCCGCCAUGAGAACCCCCAGACCAGGGUUGGGGGCCCGCCCCCCGAGGGGCUGCCGGG
This 740-nucleotide small RNA is filed under the name Pongo abelii (Sumatran orangutan). Its description in RNAcentral is "processed transcript". Lineage: Eukaryota; Metazoa; Chordata; Mammalia; Primates; Hominidae. The record is from RNAcentral.